RNAcentral lists this ribosomal RNA (223 nucleotides) under uncultured bacterium. Its description in RNAcentral is "partial 16S ribosomal RNA". It matches the Rfam family "Bacterial small subunit ribosomal RNA", at positions 326 to 539 of the family's 1533-position model. The record is from RNAcentral.
ACGCUCGACACCUACGGUAGGCAGCAGUAGGGAAUCUUCCACAAUGGGCGCAAGCCUGAUGGAGCAACACCGUGUGAGUGAAGAAGGGUUUCGGCUCGUAAAGCUCUGUUGUUGGAGAAGAACGUGCGUGAGAGUAACUGUUCACGCAGUGACGGUAUCCAACCAGAAAGUCACGGCUAACUACGUGCUAGCAGCCGCGGUAAUCUGAGCGGGCUGGCAAGGC